GCGGGGAUAGCUCAGUUGGGAGAGCGUCAGACUGAAGUCAAAUAACUCCAGUUGCAUAUCUGAAGGUCGUGUGUUCAAUCCACACUCACCGCA
Cytospora paraplurivora is the source of this 93-nucleotide non-coding RNA. NCBI's taxonomy places the organism in Eukaryota, Fungi, Ascomycota, Sordariomycetes, Diaporthales, Cytosporaceae. The record is from the annotation of a GenBank genome assembly.